CCUACGGGUGGCAGCAGUGGGGAAUAUUGGACAAUGGGCGAAAGCCUGAUCCAGCCAUGCCGCGUGAGUGAUGAAGGCCCUAGGGUUGUAAAGCUCUUUCACCGGUGAAGAUAAUGACGGUAACCGGAGAAGAAGCCCCGGCUAACUUCGUGCCAGCAGCCGCGGUAAUACGAAGGGGGCUAGCGUUGUUCGGAAUUACUGGGCGUAAAGCGCACGUAGGCGGAUACUUAAGUCAGGGGUGAAAUCCCGGGGCUCAACCCCGGAACUGCCUUUGAUACUGGGUAUCUCGAGUCCGGAAGAGGUGAGUGGAAUUCCGAGUGUAGAGGUGAAAUUCGUAGAUAUUCGGAGGAACACCAGUGGCGAAGGCGGCUCACUGGUCCGGUACUGACGCUGAGGUGCGAAAGCGUGGGGAGCAAACAGGAUUAGAUACCCCUGUAGUC
RNAcentral lists this ribosomal RNA (440 nucleotides) under uncultured Hyphomicrobiales bacterium. RNAcentral's name for it is "bacterial SSU rRNA". It matches the Rfam family "Bacterial small subunit ribosomal RNA", at positions 338 to 795 of the family's 1533-position model. Lineage: Bacteria; Pseudomonadati; Pseudomonadota; Alphaproteobacteria; Hyphomicrobiales. The record is from RNAcentral.